Molecule: ribosomal RNA, 262 nt
Filed under: uncultured bacterium
Lineage: Bacteria
Description: partial 16S ribosomal RNA
Rfam family: Bacterial small subunit ribosomal RNA
Source: RNAcentral
UACGUGAGGGGCGAACGUUGUUCGGUGUCACUGGGCUUAAAGGGUGCGUAGGUGGUUGCGUAAGUAAGAUGUGAAAUCCCUCGGCUUACCCGGGGAAUUGCAUUUUAUACUGCGUGACUUGAAGGGAAGCUAAAGGGGAAAAGGGAACUCCAGGGUGAUAGCGGUGAAAUGGACGCAGAUAUCUGGGGGAAGGCCGGCGGCGAAGGCGCUUUUCUGGUUAGAUCCUGACACGUGAGGCACGAAAGCGUGGGGAGCAAACAGG